Ictalurus punctatus (channel catfish) is the source of this 135-nucleotide small nucleolar RNA. Lineage: Eukaryota; Metazoa; Chordata; Actinopteri; Siluriformes; Ictaluridae. The record is from Ensembl.
GUGCACUGUUCGUAACCUGUUUCAGUUCUGCAGUCUGAAAUCCGGGUUCCAUUCCAGUGCUAGAGGAACGUUCGGUAAGGCAGGGGAGUGCGGCUCGUCUGUGCAUAACUCCCUGUUCACUCACUGACGACAGAU